This 284-nucleotide ribosomal RNA is filed under the name actinobacterium ZBS20. RNAcentral describes it as "partial 16S ribosomal RNA". It matches the Rfam family "Bacterial small subunit ribosomal RNA", at positions 62 to 346 of the family's 1533-position model. The record is from RNAcentral. Lineage: Bacteria; Bacillati; Actinomycetota; Actinomycetes.
UCGAAGCGAGUCCCUUCGGGGGCUUAGCGGCGGACGGGUGAGUAACACGUAGGCAACCUGCCCGUAAGCUCGGGAUAACAUGGGGAAACUCAUGCUAAUACCGGAUAGGGUCUUCUCUCGCAUGAGAGGAGACGGAAAGGUGGCGCAAGCUACCACUUACGGAUGGGCCUGCGGCGCAUUAGCUAGUUGGUGGGGUAACGGCCUACCAAGGCGACGAUGCGUAGCCGACCUGAGAGGGUGACCGGCCACACUGGGACUGAGACACGGCCCAGACUCCUACGGGA